RNAcentral lists this ribosomal RNA (429 nucleotides) under uncultured Rhodoferax sp. RNAcentral's name for it is "bacterial SSU rRNA". It matches the Rfam family "Bacterial small subunit ribosomal RNA", at positions 950 to 1382 of the family's 1533-position model. Lineage: Bacteria; Pseudomonadati; Pseudomonadota; Betaproteobacteria; Burkholderiales; Comamonadaceae. The record is from RNAcentral.
UUCGAUGCAACGCGAAAACCUUACCACCUUGACAUGUACGGAAGCCUUUAGAGAUAGAGGCGUGCUCGAAAGAGAGCCGUAACACAGGUGCCGCAUGGCUGUCGUCAGCUCGUGUCGUGAGAUGUUGGGUUAAGUCCCGCAACGAGCGCAACCCUUGUCAUUAGUUGCUACAUUCAGUUGGGCACUCUAAUGAGACUGCCGGUGACAAGCCGGAGGAAGGUGGGGAUGACGUCAAGUCCUCAUGGCCCUUAUAGGUGGGGCUACACACGUCAUACAAUGGCUGGUACAAAGGGUUGCCAACCCGCGAGGGGGAGCUAAUCCCAUAAAGCCAGUCGUAGUCCGGAUCGUAGUCUGCAACUCGACUACGUGAAGUCGGAAUCGCUAGUAAUCGUGGAUCAGAAUGUCACGGUGAAUACGUUCCCGGGUCUU